RNAcentral lists this ribosomal RNA (492 nucleotides) under uncultured bacterium. RNAcentral's name for it is "partial 16S ribosomal RNA". It matches the Rfam family "Bacterial small subunit ribosomal RNA", at positions 29 to 507 of the family's 1533-position model. The record is from RNAcentral.
AGUGAACGCUGGCGGUAGGCCUAACACAUGCAAGUCGAACGGCAGCACAGUAAGAGCUUGCUCUUACGGGUGGCGAGUGGCGGACGGGUGAGGAAUACAUCGGAAUCUACUUUUUCGUGAGGGAUAACGUAGGGAAACUUACGCUAAUACCGCAUACGACCUACGGGUGAAAGCAGGGGAUCUUCGGACCUUGCGCGAUUGAAUGAGCCGAUGUCGGAUUAGCUAGUUGGCGGGGUAAAGGCCCACCAAGGCGACGAUCCGUAGCUGGUCUGAGAGGAUGAUCAGCCACACUGGAACUGAGACACGGUCCAGACUCCUACGGGAGGCAGCAGUGGGGAACAUUGGACAAUGGGCGCAAGCCUGAUCCAGCCAUACCGCGUGGGUGAAGAAGGCCUUCGGGUUGUAAAGCCCUUUUGUUGGGAAAGAAAAGCAGCAGGUUAAUACCCCGCUGUUCUGACGGUACCCAAAGAAUAAGCACCGGCUAACUUCGUG